UACGAAGGGGGCUAGCGUUGUUCGGAAUUACUGGGCGUAAAGGGUGCGUAGGUGGGCAAGUAAGUCAGUGGUGAAAUCUCCGGGCUUAACCCGGAAACUGCCAUUGAUACUAUUUGUCUUGAAUACUGUGGAGGUCAGCGGAAUAUGUCAUGUAGCGGUGAAAUGCUUAGAUAUGACAUAGAACACCAAUUGCGAAGGCAGCUGGCUACACAAAUAUUGACACUGAGGCACGAAAGCGUGGGGAUCAAACAGG
This 253-nucleotide ribosomal RNA is filed under the name uncultured bacterium. RNAcentral describes it as "partial 16S ribosomal RNA". It matches the Rfam family "Bacterial small subunit ribosomal RNA", at positions 524 to 776 of the family's 1533-position model. The record is from RNAcentral.